RNAcentral lists this long non-coding RNA (582 nucleotides) under Trifolium pratense (red clover). RNAcentral describes it as "long non-coding RNA (TPRA_LNC013004)". Lineage: Eukaryota; Viridiplantae; Streptophyta; Magnoliopsida; Fabales; Fabaceae. The record is from RNAcentral.
AGGUUUCAUACUAAUAUUGAUGAGGCCAUUUCAUAUUCAAAUCUAAUCUCAGCAAUAUAAAACACUACAAAAGUAGUACAUAAAUUCAAAAUUAACAAAAAAGUGGUGCAUCCAUAUAAAAAUUUAGAAAAAUAUUAUACGACCUACACUGCACCUACUCAGCAAAGUUCAAUCUAAAUAAUUUGUCAGCAUAGUUUACCACAUCAAAAAUCAUCUAACAAUUUUUUUAUUAAUUAAAAGUAGAAAUAUUUCAUUGAUCUAUGAAAAUUUCAAAAACUAUAUAUAUAUAUAUAUAAAGCAAUCAACAAUAGCACAUGUAUAUAACAUCAAAAUAACAAAGUGUAGUAAUUGCUAUUAUUGCUAAAUGCUUACACAUGAGUGAUAGCUUAUUGUAUAAUAUAUAUAUGAUGAGAUCUUAAUAUAUAAGAUACAUAAAUUGCCAAAGGUUCAUUGGUUGCCCUUCCUUUCUAGGUUAAGAUCUUGAAGGUUUCAACUAUGACCUAACUAGCUAGUAGCUAGGUCUACAUGAAACACUAUUUUGCCUUUAAUUUUGCUUCCAUCUUUGAUGCAAACACUUUGGAC